CUUUUUUUUUUUUUUUUUUUUUUAAUGGCCAUAACCAUGGCAUAUGGAGGUUCCCAGGCUAGGGGUCCCAAUUGGAGCUGUAGCCACUGGCCUAUGCCACAGCCACAACAAUGCAGGAUCCAAGCCGCAUCUGUGACCUACAUCACACCUCACAGCAAUGCUGGAUCCUUAACCCACUGAGCGAGGCCAGAGAUUGAACCCGCAUCCUCAUGGAUGCUAGUCAGGUACGUUAACCACUGAGCCAUGAUGGGAACUCCUCUCUUUCCUUCUUUAUCUACAAUUAUUAGAACCUGACUUAGCUCUGUUGUCAUCUAGUUUGUAAUUGAACAUAGGCUUUUGGUCCCAGUUCCCAUACCUAUUAAUUUUCUAACUGCAUCAUAAUUAUUCUGAGUUCUUAUACUGUUCUACUGAAUAAGAUCAAACAAGUAGCUUGACUCACUCUGCUCCAGCUAUGAGGAAGGAGCCAUCUGGGAGAUGGGCCUCAAAACAGUAAAUGCAAGUCCUCAAUUAACAGAGUCGUAAUUUAAUAUCCAUUGAAAUAGUUUCUUCCUCUCUAAAAAUACCCUCAUUUUAAAAUCAAACAGGAGUUCCCAUUGUGGCUUAGCAGAAAUGAACCUGACUAGCAUCCAGGAGGAUGCAGGGUAGAUCCCUGGCUUUGCUCAAUGGGUUAAGGAUCAGGCAUUGCCAUGAGGUGUGGUAUAUGUCACAGAUGUGGCUUGGAUCCCACAUCUGUGGCCGUGGGGUAGGCCGGCAGUUGUGAGUCUGAUUCAACCCUUAGCCUGGGAAACACCAUAUGCCACAGGUUAGGCCUGAAAAGCAAACAAACAAACAAAAAAUAAUUCCUUCUCUUGUUAAUGUCAUGUGUUAAUUUUAUAAUCAAUCCAGCCAUAAGAACUCAAAAAGAGAAAGAGAGAAAUUUCCCUUUCUGUGCUAUUAUAAAGCAAGUUUUAAUAUACUUUAAAGGGAUAAAAUAAUUCAAAGUAUUUUUUACCAUCCAUAGUGGAAUUAAGAUAGAUGCUGAUAAUGAAAGAAUAAUUUAAUAAUGCAUGUAUUUGAGGUACCAAAAGACUACUAGAGCUCAUCAAUGAUUGGUAAAGUUGCAGGAUACAAAAUUAAUGCACAGAAAUCUGUUGUAUUUCACACACUAAGAGUGAGCUAUCGGAAAGAGAAAUUAAGAAAACAAUUUCGUUUACUGUCGUAUAAAAAGAAAUAAAAUAACUAGGAAUAAAUUUAACUAAGGAGGUAAAGAUCUAUACCCGGAAAACUCUAAGACACUGAUGAAAGAAUCUGAACAGAAGGAAAAUAUACUUUGUUCAUAGAUUGGAAAAAUUAAGAUUGUCUAAAAUGAAAAUACCACCCAAGGCAAUCCACAGAUUCAAUGCAAUACUCAUCAAGAUAGCACAGACUAGAACAAAUAAUACUAAAAAUUGUAAGAAAACACGAAAGACCCCAAAUAGCCAAAACAAUCUUGAGAAAGAACAAAGCUAGAGGUGUCAUGUUGUCUGUUUUCAAACUGUUACAAAUCUAUAGUAAACAAAACAGUAUGGCACUGGCACAAAAACAUAUACAUAUAGAUCAGUGGAACAGAGUAGAGAGUCGAGAAAUGAACCCACACUUAAGUGGGCAAUUAUCUGUGACAAAGGAUGCAAGAAUAUAUAAUGAGGAAACGACAUUCUCUUUAACAUACAGUGUUGAGAAAACUGGACAAUUACAUUCAAAAGAAUAAAACUGGACUAUUGUCUCACACUAUUCACAAGAAUAGAUUAAAAAUGGAUUCAAGACUUAAGUGUAAGACCUGACACCAUAAAACUUAUAGAAGAAAACAUGGAUUUUAAACUUGGAGUAGAGUUUCUCUGGCUGAAUGUUCACUUCUUUCUCUGGCAGCCACCUCAUUCUUUUUAAUAGUUCUUAUUUUCCUUGAUUAAAUAAACAAGUAUCCAUUUGCCUCGCAACUGACAUACUACUAGUAAAAUUUCUUCAGGGUCUUUAAAAAAAAUAUAUGUGCAAAACCCAGUCUAUUCUGCUGUGGCAAGGGCCUUCUGAACAAAAAGCUGCUCUUCUUUCACUACCUAUAUUUAACUACCUUGACAUUUCUAUUUGCUGAGAAAAUCUUAACCUCAAACAUUUGCAGUUGUUCUUAAAAAAAAAAAAAAAGUCAGAUCUGAAACAGUUAACUGUGGUUUUAGCUCACGGAUGAAAACUGGAGACAAAAUGCAUGAGACCAACAUUGUAGAGAAAGACUUUUUUCCAACUGAACUGAGUGUAAAUCCAGGUAAGAAGUUGGACUGCAUGGAGUGAGUGUGGGAAGCGGGGUAGUAAGGUGAUGGAAUGGUCAACAGGAUGAGAGAUGGAGUUCUGGAGGUCAUAAAUUGGUUUAUAAUUUAUAAACCUAUAAAAUAUAAGCAGAUAUUGAAAUUCUUGUCCUAGCAAGUAAGGAGAGGGAAUUAUUAAGAGAAAGAUGUAAGAGAAAGGAAUUGGGUUAAAUUUAUGAUGGAGAAUGAAAUGAUUAACUUCACUGAGGAAAAAAACAUACUGUAAAGUGUUGCACAGAUGCAUAUUAUUAUUAUUAAAUAAGGUAGAAAACCUAUCAUGGAAGCUUAUAGGAGAGGAAAUAUUAAAAGGUAAGUAAAAGAUAUUUUCAAAUUUAAAAAGUGAGCAAGGAGUUCACUUCUGGCACAGUGGGUUAAGGACCCAGUGUUUUCACUAUAGUGGCUUGGGUCACUGCUGUGGCACAGAUUUAAUCACAGGCUCACUGGCACAGGAACUUCCACAUGCUGCAGGAGCAGCCAAAAAAAAAAGAAAGUGAACAAGUAAAAACUUAGUAGAGUGCUCAAAUGAAAUAUAUUACAUUGGAUGCACCGUAAAAAGAAAAAUUAUAUAUAAACUAUAUAAUAUCACAUAUUACAUAUUUAUAUAUGAAUUUAAAAUUUAAAAAAUUGUGUGAUGAUUUAAGUGAAAAAUGGUUUUUACUAAUUAUGGGAAAAAAGUCAUAAUUUAAGUCAGAAGAAUUUCUUUAUCUUUGAUAAAAGUAGAAAUCAAUCAACUCAGAGAGAAGGUAAUUCAGAUGAGGAAAGAUGAUUUCUAAUUCUUGUUAAAUGAUUUCAUUUAUUUCUUCAUUCAUUUUGUAUUUUGAGUAUAUUUAUAAUAGCUGCUUAUAAUAUUUGCCAAAUAUUUCCAACAUCUGUGUCACCUUGGUGUGGUUUCUACUGCUUGUCUUUCCCCACGCAAGUUAAGCUUUUCAUGACUAUUCAUAUGCUGUAUAAUUUUGGAUUGUAUUUUGGACAUUUUGAAUAAAUAUUUUGUAUGAGAUUCUUUACAUUGUUUAAAUCUUUGGAGCACAGGAAUAUUUUUGAUUUUAGCAGGCAAUCACUCUGGCUAGCUUCAGACCUUUUGUAGGCUCUGGUUCCAAUGUCAGCUCAGUUUUUAGAGCCUUUGUAGUGUUAUUCAGAUAUUGCUUUUUUUCUCUUCUUUCUUUUUUAAAUAAAUUUUUAUUUACAGUGUUGUAUUAGUUUCAGGUGUACAGUGAAAUGAAUCCGUUAUACAUAUACAUAUAUCCAUACUUUUUUCCAUAAAUUGGAAAAAAGUUAUUACGGAACGUUGAGUAGAACUUCCUGUGCUACUCAGUAGGUCCUUGUUAGUUAUCUAUCUAUUUUAUAUUAGUACUGUAUAUGUGUUAAUCCCAUCCUCUCAAUAUAUCUCUCCCCACCACGGUUCCCCUUGGGGUCACCCUAGGUUUGAUUUCAAAAUCUGUGUUUGUUUCUGUUUCAUAAAUACAUCCUUUUGUGUCAUUUUUACUACAUUCCAUAUAUAAUUGAUAUCAUAUGAUAUUUGUCUUUGUCUGACUUACUUCACUUAGUAGAUAUUUCUUGCAAGUGCAUCAACCAGUGGCCAAUCUGAAAUUUGGGCAAUGUUCCAUUGUGAAGAGUUUAUGUUUCAUGUCUUUGGUACCUUAAUUGGGGUAAGGUGUAAGUAUGCACAGCUUGUAUGUGUGUAUGUGUUUAUGUCUGUUUGGGGGUGGUGGGGAGUCCAGAAGUUUACUAAUAAGAUUCAGAGUUGUCUUUACAAAGUUCCUUCCUCUUCAUUCAUUUACCUCUGAGUCCAUGUACCUGUUUUAACUAGCUAGAUUCCUGCUAGAUUAGCAUGGACAUAGGUCUGAGGAGUUCUUAUUAAUUAUGCUAUUAGAUACCACUAAAUUGUUUUGUAUAAAAGAAUUAUAUCUUUUGCGAAAAUCCUUGUGUAAAUAUACUCAAAGCCAUGCUUCUUUUUUCUAGCCUCCAGCCAGAAAUUUGUGACUGUAAUUUCCUCACUCUACUAUGGACUUCUCAAUGGUGGCUGCAUCUGUAAGACAGUGAAGCAGGAGGAAAGAGAGCAAGGAGGAAAGAAAAAGCAAAGGGUUUGGUCCACCUUCUUAGAAUCACAGCUGUAUCAAAUGGAGAGGAUGGUUCACCUCCCUCAGGAUUUCAGCUAUUAGGUGUCAUAGUUGCCACAGCCCUGCCAUCUUGAGAUUGCCUGAGGUCUGAGGCAUACCAGAAGAGAAUGGAGUAUUUUCAUAUUCUCCCUCUGUGUUAGGAGCUCAUUUUCCUACUCAAACCAGAGCUAGACUGCCUCUCCUGGAGCUCUCUCUGUCUCUGCCCUAAGGGAUGCUCAAUACAGGUUUCUAGGUAUGUUGUAUUCUGGGUACUGAUACUGCAGGUUGGAGGAGAUGUAAAUUCAACACUGGUUGAUUUGGUGGUAACUUGAAUUCUGGUGUUCUCAAUAUGAUUCCUUCUACUAGAUAGUUUUUCUUUUAUUUAUUUGCUUUUUAGGCCCACACCUGAGGCAUAUAUAAGUUCCCAAGCUAGGGGUGAAAUCAGAGCUACUGCUGCCAGCCUAUGCCACAGCCAUAGCAACUUGGAAUAUGAGCCACAUCUGCGAUCUACACCACAGCUCAUGGCAAUACCAGAUUCCCGGCCAACUGGGUGAGGCCAGGGAUAGAACCUGCAUCCUCAUGGAUACUGGUCAGACUCAUUUCCACUGUACCACAAUGGUAGCUCCUACUAGAUAGUUUUUAGAGUCUUUAAGUAGCUGUUGGAUGCAUUCUGUCCAGAUUUGAUAUUUACAUUUAGUAGGGGAGACACUAUGUGGUGUGCUAAUUCCACUUACAUUGAACCAUAAUCACCCAUUUGUUGGGUGUUUGUUGAAUACUUUCUAUUCAUAGGCACUGACCUAGAUUCUGGUGGUACAAUGGCAAGCAAAAAGACAAGGCUCUGUCCCAGAUGAAGCUUACCAUUAAAUGACAAAAGAUUUUUAUUAAUCAUCCUUCCUUUUUUAACACAACUUUUUUUGCCUUUGGCCUUUUUCAAAUCAGUGCCCACCUCCCAAUAAGGUUUUUUGAUUGGUCUAUCCUCUUCUACUCAGAAAUACUCAUGGAUAUCUAAAUUUUAUAGUUGAGACCUAACCUGAGACUUCUAUUCUGUUCUGUAAGGUAUAUAAAUUUAUCAUCACGACCUAACAGAGAAAACUACCUUCUAAAAGACUUCAAAGACUUCAGAUGUCCGGUAGGAAAUAAGAGGCAUAGAAAUCAUUGCUCCCAUCUAUACAGGAAAAAAAAAAGGCUGAAAAAACUAAAAAUCAACAUUAUCUCCUUAAAUCAAUCAGAGAAUCAGAGAGCUGUGGUUACAUGGAAAACAACUGCCCUCAUGGGAAUUCCUGUCAUGGCUCAGUGGUUAAUGAAUCCGACUAGGAACCAUAACAUUGCAAGUUCAGUCCUUAGCCUUGCUCAGUGGGUUAAGGAUCUGGCAUUGUCAUGAGCUGUGGUGUAGGUCACAGACGCUGCUCGGAUCCCACAUUGCUGUGGCUCUGGCAUAGGCUGGUGGCUACAACUCUGAUUAGACCCCUAGCCUGGGAACCUCCAUAUGCUGUGGUGCAGCCCUAGAAAAGACAAAAAACAAAAAACAAAAA
This 5940-nucleotide long non-coding RNA is filed under the name Sus scrofa (pig). RNAcentral's name for it is "lncRNA (ENSSSCG00015068672.1)". The record is from RNAcentral. Lineage: Eukaryota; Metazoa; Chordata; Mammalia; Artiodactyla; Suidae.